CGAAGGGGCUAGCGUUGCUCGGAAUUACUGGGCGUAAAGCGCACGUAGGCGGCUUUCUAAGUCGGGGGUGAAAUCCUGGAGCUCAACUCCAGAACUGCCUUCGAUACUGGAAAGCUCGAGUCCGGGAGAGGUGAGUGGAACUGCGAGUGUAGAGGUGAAAUUCGUAGAUAUUCGCAAGAACACCAGUGGCGAAGGCGGCUCACGUGGCCCGGUAUGACGCUGAGGUGCGAAAGCGUGGGGGAGCAAACAGGAUU
RNAcentral lists this ribosomal RNA (254 nucleotides) under uncultured bacterium. Its description in RNAcentral is "partial 16S ribosomal RNA". It matches the Rfam family "Bacterial small subunit ribosomal RNA", at positions 527 to 779 of the family's 1533-position model. The record is from RNAcentral.